RNAcentral lists this ribosomal RNA (1776 nucleotides) under metagenome. Its description in RNAcentral is "bacterial LSU rRNA". It matches the Rfam family "Bacterial large subunit ribosomal RNA", at positions 1004 to 2829 of the family's 2925-position model. The record is from RNAcentral.
UCCGUGGUCAAAAGGGAAAGAGCCCAGAUCGUCAAUUAAGGUCCCAAAGAUAUAGCUAAGUGGAAAACGAUGUGAUUUUGCGUAAACAACCAGGAUGUUGGCUCAGAAGCAGCCACUCAUUCAAAGAGUGCGUAACAGCUCACUGGUCGAGUGAAAUUGCGCGGAAAAUUACCGGGGCUAAGCUAUACACCGAAAUUGCGGAUUCAAGGAUUUAUCCUUGAGUGGUAGAGGAGCAUUCUGUUGUAGGUUGAAGUAUGACCGUAAGGACAUGUGGACGAAGCAGAAGAGAGAAUGCUGGAAUAAGUAGCGAGAGCAAGGUGAGAAUCCUUGCCGUCGAAAGUCUAAGGUUUCCUGGGGAAGGUUCGUCCGCCCAGGGUUAGUCGGGACCUAAGGAGAGGCCGAGAGGCGUAUCUGAUGGACAGCAGGUUGAUAUUCCUGCACUAUAGAUAUACUUAAAAGAUGCAAGGGACGCAGAAGUGGAAGGGAUGCGAGGAAGAGGAAAAACUCGUAUCGAAAGAUAUAGUGAAAAUAAAGUAACGAAUUCCCAAGAAGCACGCUGACGAGAAAAGCUUGUAGAUAUUGUAUAUAAAUACCCGUACCGCAAACCGACACAGGUAGAUGAGGAGAGGAUCCUAAGACGAGCGGGAGAAGCAUUGUUAAGGAACUCGGCAAAUUGACCCCGUAACUUCGGAAUAAGGGGUGCCUAUGUAAAAGUAGGCCGCAGAGAAUAGGCCCAAGCAACUGUUUAACAAAAACACAGGUUUCUGCUAAAUCGAAAGAUGAAGUAUAGGAGCUGACGCCUGCCCAGUGCUGGAAGGUUAAGGGGAAGAGUUAAGACUUGAUCUGAAGCUUAGAACCAAAGCCCCAGUGAACGGCGGCCGUAACUAUAACGGUCCUAAGGUAGCGAAAUUCCUUGUCAGGUAAGUUCUGACCCGCACGAAAGGCGUAAUGAUUUGGGCACUGUCUCGACAAUGUACCCGGCGAAAUUGUAGUACUAGUGAAGAUGCUAGUUACCUGCGACAAGACAGAAAGACCCCAUGGAGCUUUACUGCAGCUUGAUACUGGGUUUCGGUAAUUUAUGUACAGGAUAGGUGGGAGACUAUGAAGUUAUGGCGUCAGCCGUAAUGGAGUCACCGUUGGGAUACCACCCUUAAGUUAUUGGAAUUCUAACUUGUGAUCAUGAACUGGUCAGAGGACAAUGUCAGGCGGGCAGUUUGACUGGGGCGGUCGCCUCCUAAAGAGUAACGGAGGCGCCCAAAGGUUUCCUCAGCGCGGACAGAAAUCGCGCGAAAGAGUGUAAAGGCAGAAGGAAGCUUAACUGAGAGACAGACAUGUCGACCAGAUACGAAAGUAGGGCUUAGUGAUCCGGCGGUAGUGAAUGGAAAUGCCGUCGCUCAACGGACAAAAGUUACCCUGGGGAUAACAGGCUUAUCUCCCCCAAGAGUUCACAUCGACGGGGAGGUUUGGCACCUCGAUGUCGGCUCAUCGCAUCCUGGAGCGGAAGUACGUUCCAAGGGUUGGGCUGUUCGCCCAUUAAAGCGGUACGCGAGCUGGGUUCAGAACGUCGUGAGACAGUUCGGUCCUUAUCUGUCGCAGGCGUAGGAUAUUUGAAGGGAGCUGUCCUUAGUACGAGAGGACCAGGAUGGAGAUACCGAUGGUGUAUCAGUUGUCACACCAGUGGCAUGGCUGAGUAGCUAAGUAUCGAUGGGAUAAACGCUGAAAGCAUCUAAGUGUGAAGCCCACCCUAAGAUAAGAUGUCCCAUACCGUAAGGUAGU